UACGUAGGGGGCAAGCGUUGUCCGGAUUUAUUGGGCGUAAAGAGCGUGUAGGCGGCCCGACAGGUCCGUUGUGAAAACUCGAGGCUCAACCUCGAGACGUCGGUUGAAACCGUAAGGCUAGAGUCCGGAAGAGGAGAGUGGAAUUCCCGGUGUAGCGGUGAAAUGCGCAGAUAUCGGGAAGAACACCCGUGGCGAAGGCGGCUCUCUGGGACGGUACUGACGCUGAGACGCGAAAGCGUGGGGAGCGAACAGG
Molecule: ribosomal RNA, 253 nt
Filed under: uncultured bacterium
Lineage: Bacteria
Description: partial 16S ribosomal RNA
Rfam family: Bacterial small subunit ribosomal RNA
Source: RNAcentral